This 6283-nucleotide long non-coding RNA is filed under the name Sus scrofa (pig). RNAcentral's name for it is "lncRNA (ENSSSCG00000044372.2)". The record is from RNAcentral. Lineage: Eukaryota; Metazoa; Chordata; Mammalia; Artiodactyla; Suidae.
AUGUCUUCUUUGGAGAAUUGUCUAUGUAGAUCUUCUGCCCAUUUUUUGAUGGGGUUGUUUGUUUUUUUGGUAUUGAACUGCAGAAGCUGUUUAUAUAUUUUGGAGAUUAAUCCCUUGUCAGUCACUUCAUUUGCAAAUAUUUUCUCCCAUUCUGUGGGUUGUCUUUUUGUUUUGUUUAGGGUUUCCUUUGCUGUGCAUAAACUUUUAAUUAAGUCCCAUUUGUCUUUUUUUGUUUUUAUUGUCAUUACUCUAGGAGGUGGAUCUGAGAAGAUUCUUGCUGUGGUUUUGUCAGAGUGUUUGGCUUAUGUUUUCCUCUAAGAGUUUUUAUAGUAUCUGGCCUUAUAUUUAGGUCUUUAAUCCGUUUUGAGUUUAUUUUUGUGUAUGGUCUUAGGAAGUGUUCUAAUUUCAUUCUUUAACAUGUGGCUAUCCAGUUUUCCCAGCACCACUUAUUGAAAGGGCUGUCUUUUCUCCAUUGUAUAUACUUGCCUCUUUUGUCAUAGAUUAGUUGGAUGUAGGUGCAUGGGUUUAAUUCUGGGCUUUCUAUCCUGUUCCACUGAUCUAUAUUUCUGUCUUUGUGCCGGUACCACAUGGUUUUGAUGACUGUAGCUUUUUUUUUUUUUUUGUCUUUUUUGCCAUUUCUAGGGUCGCUCCUGCGGCAUAUGGGGGUUCCCAGGAUAGGGGUCUAAUCGGAGCUGUAGCCACCGGCCUACACCAGAGCCACAGCAGCGUGGGAUCUGAGCCACAUCUGCAACCUAUACCACAGCUCACAGCAACGUCAGAUCCUUAACCCACUGAACAAGGCCAGGGAUCGAAGCCACAACCUCAUGGUUCUUAGUUGGAUUCGUUAACCACUGUGCCAUGAUGGGAACUCCAGAUGACUGUAGCUUUAUAGUAUAGUCUGAAGUCAGGGAGCCUGAUUCCUCCAACUCCAUUUUUCUUUCUCAGGAUGGCUUUGGCUAUCCUGGGUCUUUUGUGCUUCCAAACAAACUUUAAAAUAUUUUGUUCGAGUUCUGUGAAAAAUGUCCUUGGUAAUUUGAUAGGGAUUGCAUUGAAUCUGUAGAUUGCCUUGGGUGGUAUAGUCCUUUUGACAGUGUUGAUUGUUCCAAUCCAAGAGCAUGGUAUGUCAUUCCAUCUGUUUCUGUCAUCUUUGAUUUCUUUCAUCAGCAUCUUAGAGUUUUCAGAGUACAGGUCUUUUGUCUCUUUAGUUAGGUUUAUCCCUAGGUAUUUUAUUCUUUUUGAUAUGAUGGUAUAUGCAAUUGUUUCCCUAAUUUCUCUUUCUGAUCCUUUGUUGUUAGUACAUAGAAAUGCAGUCGAUUUCUGUGUAUUAAUUUUGUAUGCUUGACUGCCAAAUUCACUGAGGAGCUCUAAAAGUUUUCUGGUAGCGUCUUUAGGAUUCUCUAGGUAUAGUAUCAUGUCAUCUGCAAAUAGUGAUAGUUUUACUUCUUCCUUUCCAAUUUGGAUUCCUUUUAUUUCUUUUUCUUCUCUGAUUGCCAUGGAUAGGACUCCUAAAACUAUGUUGAAGAGUAGUGGUGAGAGCAGACAUCCUUGUCUUGUUCCUGAUCUCAGAGGAACCAUUGGAAAUGAUGUUAGUUCUGGGUUUGUCGUAUAUGGCCUUUAUUAUUUUGAGGUAGGUUCCCUCUGUGCUGAAGGGUUUUUUUAACAGAAAUGGGUGUUGGAUUUUGUCAAAAGCUUUUUCUGAAUCUGUUGAGAGGAUCAUAUGAUUUUUAUUCCUCUGUUUGUUAAUGUGGUGUAUCACACUGAUUGAUUUGUGGAUAUUGAAGAAUCCUUGCAUCCUGGGGAUAAAUCCCACUUGAUCAUGAUAUACAAUCCUUUUAAUGUAUUGUUGGAUUCCAUUUGCUAAUAUUUUGUUGAGGAUUUUUGCAUCUAUAUUCAUCAGGGAAAUUGGCCUGUAAUUUUCUUUCUUUUUUUUUUUUUGUGAUAUCUUUGUUUGGUUUGGGUACCAGGGUGAUGGAGGCCUCAUAGCAAGAGUUUGAGAGUGUUCCUUCCUGUGCAAUUUUUUGGAAUAGUUUCAGAAGGACAGAUGUUAGCUCUUCUCUAAAUGUUUGACAGAAUUCACCUGUGAAGCCAUUUGGUCCUGGACUUUUGUUUGUUGGAAGUUUUUAAAUCAUAGUUCCAAUUUCAAUACUAGUGAUUGGUCCAUUCAUCUUUUCUAUUUUCUCUUGGUUUAGUCUUGGAAGAUUGCACUUUUCUAAGAAUUUGUCCAUUUCUUCUAGGUUGUCCAUUUUAAUAGCAUAUAGUUGCAUGUAGUAGCCUUUUAUGAUCCUUUGUAUUUCUGUGAUGUCCAUUGUAACUUCUCCUUUUUCAUUUCUAAUUUUAUAGAUUUGAGUCCUCUCUCUUUUUUUUCUCAAUAAGUCUAGCGAAGGGUUUAUUAAUUUUGUUGAUCUUUUCAAAGAACCAGCUUUUUUGGGGGGAGGGGUCUUUUUGCCUUUUCUAGGGUCGCUCCUGUGGCAUAUGGAGGUUCCCAGGCUAGGGGUCUAAUCACAGCUGUAGCCGCCAGCCUACGCCAGAGCCACAGCAACACUGGGAUCCGAGCUGCGUCUGCAACCUACACCACAGCCUGCGGCAACGCCAGAUCCUCAACCCACUGAGCAAGGCCAGGGAUCAAACCCGCAACCUCAUGAGAACGAGCUUUUAAUUUCAUUGAUCUUUUCUAUGGUUUUCUUUGUUUCUAUUUCUUUUAUUUCUGCUCUGACCUUUAUGAUUUCUUUCCUUCUGCUAACUUUGUGUCUUGUCUGUUCUUCUUUCUCUAGCUGCUUUAGAUGUAAAGUUAGGUUGUUUAUUUGAGCUUUUUCUUGUUUCCUGAGGUAGGCUGGUAUUACUAUAAACUUUCCUCGUAGAACUGCUUUUGCUGCAUCCCAUAUGUUUUGGAGUAUCGUAUCUUUGUCAUUUGCUUUUAGGUGUUUUUUAAUUUCCUCUCUAAUUUAUUCAGUGAUCCAUUGGUUGUUUAGUAGCAUGUUAUUUAGUCUCCACAUGUUUGUGUUUUUUGUAGUUUUUUUCUUGUUGAUUUCCAGUUGUAUAGCAUUGUGGUUGGAAAAUAUGGUUGAUAUGAUUUCAAUUUUCUUAAAGUUAAUGAGGCUUGAUUUAUGGCCCAGAAUGUGAUCAAUCCUAGAAAAUGUUCUGUGUGCACCUGAGAAGAAUGUGUAUUCUGCUGCUUUUGGAUGGAAUGUCCUAUAAAUAUCUAUUAAGUCCAUCUGGUGUAAUGCUUCACUCAGGGCCUGUAUUUCCUUAUUGAUUUUCUGUCUGGAUGAUUGGUCCAUUGCUGUAAGUGGGGCAUUAAAGUCCCCCACUAUUAUUGUGUUAUUGUCAAUUUCUCCUUUUAAGGUUUUUAGCAGUUGCCUUAUAUAUUGAGGUGAUCCUAUGUUGGGUAAAUAUAUAUUUACAGUUGUUAUAUCUUCUUCUUGGAUUGAUCUUUUGAUCAUUAGGUAAUGUCCUUCCUUAUAAUACUCUUUAUUUUAAGGUCUAUUUUGUCUGAUAUGAGUAUUGUUACUCCAGCUUUCUUUUGAUUCCUGUUUGCAUGGAAUAUUUUCUUCCAUCCUCUCACUUUCAAUUUAUAUAUGUCCCUAGGAGUGAAGUCAGUCUCUUGAAGACAGCAUAUAUAUGGAUCUUGUUUCUGUAUCCAUUCAGCCAGUUUAUGCCUUUUGGUUGGGGCAUUUACAUUUAAGGUAAUUAUUGAUAUGUAUGUUCUUAUUGCCAUUUUAUUAACUGUUUUGGACUUGUUUUUGUUGCUCUUUUUUCUUCCCUUCUUCUCUUGUUCUCUCCUCUUGUGGUUUGAUGAUUAUCUUUAGUGUUGUUGAUUUUUCUUAUUUGUGUGUGUAUCAAUUGUAGAUUUUUGGUUUGCAGUUAUCCUGAAGUUUUGACAUAGGAGUCUAUAUAUACACAUGAAAUUGUUUUAAGUUGUAGGCCUCUUAAUUGCAACUGCAUCUCUGGUGUCCUGCAUUUGUACUCUCCUCGUCUCAUGAUUUCUGAUUUUGGUAGCAUAUUUGUUUGUGGAUGGUUUCCUACCUUUACUGUAUAUAUGCCUUUACUGGUGAGCCUUGUCAUUUGUGGUUGCUAGCUGUGGCCUUUUCUUUUCUGCCUAAAGAAGUUCCUUUAGUACUUGUUGUAAAGCUGCUUUAGUGUUGCUGAAUUCUCUUAGCUUUUGCUUGUCUGUGAAGCUUUUGAUUUCUUCUUCAAAUCUGAAUGAGAGCCUUGCUGGGUAACUAAUCUUGGUUGGAGGUUCUGUUCUUUCAUCACAUCAAGUUAUCAUUCCACUCCCUUCCGGCCUGCAGAGUUUCUGCUGAAAAACCUGCCAAUAACUUUAUUGGGGUUCCCUUGUAUGUUAUUUGUUUCUUUUCCCUAGCUGGUUUCGAUAUUUUCUCUUUGUCUUUAAUUUUGGUCAGUUUGAUUAACAUGUGUCUCAGGAUGUUCCUCCUUGGGUUUAUUUUAUAUGGUAGUUAUUUUGUGCCCAUUUAUGAUUUUAAAAAUCUCUGAAAUAGACUGGGCAUUUGACUGGCACAUGCACACUGGUAUGUGGAGUGACUGGCCAGUGGGGACCUACUGUAUAGCACAGGGAACUCCACCCAAUAUAGAGUUUCCUGUGAGGUCUAUACAGGAAAAACAUCUGAAAAAGGAAGGAUGUGUGUACAUGUAUAAAUGAAUCAUUUUGUUGUACAGAAGAAAUCACAACAUUGUAAAUCAACUCUACUUCAAUAAAACUUUUAAAAAUGAAAGAAAAAAUCUCUGAAGUAGGAAUAGAGAGGAACUUUCUCAAUUUGAUAAAGCCACAAAAAUCCUAGUACUAACGUUAUACUUAAUGUUGAAAGACUGAAUGUUUUCCCCUUAGGACCAGGAAAAAGGCAAGGAUAUUCAUUCUCUCCACUCCAGUUCAACUUAAUGCUUGAAGUUCUAGCCAAGACAGUAAGGCAAGAAAAGACAAUAAAAGCUAUAUGAAUGAGAAAGGAAGACAUUACGUCUACAUAGGAAAUCCCAAGGAAUGAAUAUAUAUAUUUUAGAGCCACACCCAUGACAUGUGGAAGUUCCCAAGGUAGGGGUCAGAUUGGAGCUACAGCUACCGGCCUACACCACAGCCACAGAAACAUGGAAUCUGAGCUGCAUCUGUGACAUACACUACAGCUCAAGGCAAUGCCAGAUCCUUAACCUACUGAGACAGGCUAGGAAUCAAAUCUGCAUCUUCAUGGUUCCUAGUUGGGUUCAUUAACCACUGAGCCACAAAGGGAACUCCUAUAAAAAUAUUUUUAAAACCUCCUAGAAUUAAUAAGUGAAUUUAGCAAGGUUGCAGGAUACAAAAUAAAUAUACAAAAAUCAACUGUAUUUUUAUAUACUAUCAAUAAACAUGAGAACACUGAAAUUUAAAAUACUGUGCACAAUUGCUCAAAAAUAAAGUAGAAUACUCAAGUGUAAACCUAAUAAAACAUGGGCAGGACUGAAAACUGAAAACUACAAAAUACUAAUGAACGAAAUCAAAGAAGAUCUUUUUUUACAAAAAUGGAGAGACAUACCAUAUUCACAAAUUGGAAGAUUUCCUAUAGUAAAGAUGUCAGUUCUCCUCCAAUUGAUGUUCAGGUUUAACACAAUUCUUAUGAAAAUUCCGGCAAGGUAUUUUUUGUAAAUAUAAACAAAGUUAUUCUAAAAUUUGUAUAUAAAGGCAGAGGAGCUAGAAUAGCUAAAACACUGAAAAAGAAGAAUGAAGUAGGCGGAAUCUGUCUAUACAGUUUCAAGUCCUACUAUAGAGCUACUGUAACAAAGACUGUGGUAUUUGUGAAGGUAUAAACACAUAGAUCAAUGGAGCUGAGUAAAGAAUACAAAAAUAAACACAUUUAUUCCCAACUGAUUUUUGACAAAGGUGCCAAAGCAAUUUAAUGGAGGAAAGAUAGUCUUUUUAACAAAUAGUGCUAGAGCAAAUGAAUAUCCAUAGGUUAAAAAAAAAAACCUUGACCUAAGUCUCACAUCUUAUAUAAAGGUGAACUCAAAAUGAAUCACAGAUUCAAAUGUAAAAUAUAAAACUAAAAAUAUUUAUAAAAGAAUAUAAGAGAAAACUGUUAGGGUCUAGAACUAGGCAAAGAGUUUAGACUGGAUACCAAAAGUGUAAUCCGUUCAAGGAAAAACUGAUAAAUUGAACUUCAUAAAAAUUUAGAACUUUAAGCUCUGUGAAAGACUCUGUUAAGAAGAUGAAAAGACAAACUACAGACCAGGAUAAAUUAAUUGCAAAUCAUAUAUCCAACAAGUAAUUAGUAUAUAGAAUAUAUAAGAAACUCUUAAAACU